This 317-nucleotide ribosomal RNA is filed under the name Amaurobius ferox. RNAcentral describes it as "partial 12S ribosomal RNA". Lineage: Eukaryota; Metazoa; Arthropoda; Arachnida; Araneae; Amaurobiidae. The record is from RNAcentral.
UAGUAUUAAUAUUUUAUUAAUAAAACUUAUUUAUUACGGCGGCAUUUCAUCUUUUUAUAGAAACCUGUUAUUUAAUUGAUACCCCACAUUUAUUUUCACUUUUUUUUAUAAUUUAUAUACCAUCAUUAUAAGAAUUAAUUAUAAAUUAUUAUUCUUAAUAAUAAUUAAAAUAUUAGAUCAAGGUGUAAUAAAUAAAAAAGAUUUAAUGGGUUGCAUUAAAUAUAAUUUAAAGAUUAUUUUUUUAUAAAAUUUUAUAAAAUAGAAUAUAAUAACAAUAUUAUAAUAAUAAUUUAAUAUGAAAUAGAUAAUAAAUGUGC